GACGAACGCUGGCGGCGUGCCUAAUACAUGCAAGUAGAACGCUGAAGGAGGAGCUUGCUUCUCUGGAUGAGUUGCGAACGGGUGAGUAACGCGUAGGUAACCUGCCUGGUAGCGGGGGAUAACUAUUGGAAACGAUAGCUAAUACCGCAUAAUAGCAGUUGUUGCAUGACAACUGUUUGAAAGGUGCAAUUGCACCACUACCAGAUGGACCUGCGUUGUAUUAGCUAGUUGGUGGGGUAACGGCUCACCAAGGCGACGAUACAUAGCCGACCUGAGAGGGUGAGCAGCCACACUGGGACUGAGACACGGCACAGACUCCUACGGGAGGCAGCAGUAGGGAAACGUCGGCAAUGGACGGAAGUCUGACCGAGCAACGCCGCGUGAGUGAAGAAGGUUUUCGGAUCGUAAAGCUCUGUUGUAAGGGAAGAACGAGUGUGAGAGUGGAAAGUUCACACUGUGACGGUAUCUUACCAGAAAGGGACGGCUAACUACGUG
This 495-nucleotide ribosomal RNA is filed under the name uncultured bacterium. Its description in RNAcentral is "partial 16S ribosomal RNA". It matches the Rfam family "Bacterial small subunit ribosomal RNA", at positions 28 to 507 of the family's 1533-position model. The record is from RNAcentral.